This 403-nucleotide ribosomal RNA is filed under the name Verrucomicrobiota bacterium. RNAcentral describes it as "Verrucomicrobia bacterium partial 16S ribosomal RNA". It matches the Rfam family "Bacterial small subunit ribosomal RNA", at positions 355 to 776 of the family's 1533-position model. Lineage: Bacteria; Pseudomonadati; Verrucomicrobiota. The record is from RNAcentral.
UGGGGAAUAUUGCACAAUGGGCGCAAGCCUGAUGCAGCAACGCCGCGUGAACGAUGAAGGUCUUCGGAUCGUAAAGUUCUGUUGCAGGGGAAGAUAAUGACGGUACCCUGUGAGGAAGCCCCGGCUAACUACGUGCCAGCAGCCGCGGUAAUACGUAGGGGGCUAGCGUUAUCCGGAUUUACUGGGCGUAAAGGGUGCGUAGGUGGUCUUUCAAGUCGGUGGUUAAAGGCUACGGCUCAACCGUAGUUAGCCUCCGAAACUGGAAGACUUGAGUGCAGGAGAGGAAAGUGGAAUUCCUAGUGUAGCGGUGAAAUGCGUAGAUAUUAGGAGGAAUACCGGUGGCGAAGGCGACUUUCUGGACUUUUACUGACGCUCAGGUACGAAAGCGUGGGGAGCAAACAGG